Molecule: long non-coding RNA, 1551 nt
Organism: Homo sapiens (human)
Lineage: Eukaryota; Metazoa; Chordata; Mammalia; Primates; Hominidae
Product: long intergenic non-protein coding RNA 1748
Source: Ensembl
UUCCCGGCUGCUUUGUUUACCCAAGCAAGCCUGGGCAAUGGCGGGCGCCCCUCCCCCAGCCUUGCUGCGGCCUUGCAGUUUGAUCUCAGACUGCUGUGCUAGCAAUCAGCGAGACUCCGUGGGCGUAGGACCCUCCUAGCCAGGUGCAAGAUAUAAUCUCGCGGUGCGCCGUUUUUUAAGCCGGUCCGAAAGCGCAAUAUUCGGGUGGGAGAGACCCGAUUUUCCAGUGAGAUGAACCCAGUACCUCAGAUGGAAAUGCAGAAAUCACCCGUCUUCUGCGUCGCUCACGCUGGGAGCUGUAGACCGGAGCUGUUGCUAUUCGGCCAUCUUGGCUCCUCUCCUGCACUGCAAGAAUGGACUAAUACGCUAUGUGAAGACAAAGGGGAUGUCUGCAAGCCAGGACGAGUGCGUCUACCAGAAACUGAGUUCUGCUGGACUUUGAUCUAGGACAUCCAGCCUCCAGAAUGGAAUGUGCCAUAUGUGGAGACCUGCAUGGAAAGGAACUGAGGAUGCUCUCUCACUAAAAGCUAGAAGGAACUGAGGCCCUCAGUCAACAGUCUACAAGACACUGAAUCUUGCCAGCAGCCAAGCAGUGAGCUUGAAAGCAGAUCUAUCAUCAGCUGAACCUUCAGAUGAGACCGCAGCCUAAGCAGAUACCUUGGUUGCAGCCAUAUGGAGAGAGGGGAACCCGAGUCAAGGAAUGCAAAUGGCCUCUGGAAGCUGGAAAAAGCAAGAAAUGGAUUCUCCUUUAGAGCCUGUGGAAUAAAAUGCAGUCAUGCUGACACCUUGAUUUUACCUCAGUGAGACCAAUACUGGAGUAUGACCUUCGGAGCUGAAUAAAAUUAUACGUACACAUCUUAAUUUCUUGGGAUUUGAUUACUUCUUCUGCUUUGAAAUUAGACCAAGUUUAGCCUGCCUUUGCUAUUUUGGCGUAUCUCCAAUUCUUCAUGAUUUUCUCAUUAGAUUCUUAGGGAUUCUGAAAAACACCUUACAGACCAUGUGAGAGGUAACGAGGAGGCUCUCCUGGACUGAACUGUGUCCCCUCCAAAUUCAUAUGUUGAGACCCAAACUUCCAAUGUGACUGUAUUUGGAGCUAGGGCCUUUAAGGAGUAAUUGACAUUAAAUGAGGUCACAGGGUUGGGACUCUAAUUUAAUAGGACUGGUGUCCUUAUGAGAAGAGAAAGAGGCACCAGGCACCAGGCAUGUGAGCCCACAGAGGAAAGGCUAUGAUGUGAAGACAGAGAGAAGGCCAUCACACACAAGCCAUGGAGAGAGGCCUCCCCAGAAACCAACCCCACCGACACCUUGAUCUCGGACUUCCAAGCUUCAGAACUGUGAGAAAAUAAAUUCCUAUUGUUUAAGCCACUCAGUCAGUGGAAUUCUGUUAUAGCAGCCCUAACAGACUAAUACGGAAGUCAAGUAGACAAGUCUGGUCUCUGUAUUUCUAUUGGAACUGGAUUUACUCUGCUCCUAUGAGUUAUCUCUAUGGGAGUUUGAUAUAAAUUGUUAAAAAAUUGAAGCAGAUAAACAUGAAAUUGUAGAGCAAUUUAA